Molecule: long non-coding RNA, 102 nt
Organism: Aricia agestis (brown argus)
Lineage: Eukaryota; Metazoa; Arthropoda; Insecta; Lepidoptera; Lycaenidae
Exons: 4
Source: RefSeq, a predicted model, not a curated record
AGUUUUUAGCUCCCGGGUUUGGGGACACUACACUUAUCUUGGGGAUCAGUCAGCGACGUGGGGGACUCCAGCUCCUCAAGUCUCCGAGAUCUACCGGACAGG